Molecule: ribosomal RNA, 254 nt
Filed under: uncultured bacterium
Lineage: Bacteria
Description: partial small subunit ribosomal RNA
Rfam family: Bacterial small subunit ribosomal RNA
Source: RNAcentral
AGGACGAACGCUGGCGGCGUGCUUAACACAUGCAAGUCGAGCGGAAAGGCCCUUCGGGGUACUCGAGCGGCGAACGGGUGAGUAACACGUGAGUAAUCUGCCCCUAGCUCUGGGAUAGCUCCGGGAAAACCGGGAUUAAUACCGGAUAUGACCACUUUAGAUAUCUGUUGUGGUGGAAAGAAUUUCGGCUAGGGAUGAGCUCGCGGCCUAUCAGCUUGUUGGUGGGGUAACGCCUACCAAGGCGACGACGGGUA